RNAcentral lists this ribosomal RNA (257 nucleotides) under uncultured bacterium. RNAcentral's name for it is "partial 16S ribosomal RNA". It matches the Rfam family "Bacterial small subunit ribosomal RNA", at positions 355 to 606 of the family's 1533-position model. The record is from RNAcentral.
UGGGGAAUAUUGCACAAUGGGCGCAAGCCUGAUGCAGCCAUGCCGCGUGUGUGAAGAAGGCCUUCGGUUGUAAGCACUUUCAGCGAGGAGGAAGGGUAGUGUGUUAAUAGCACAUUGCAUUGACGUUACUCGCAGAAGAAGCACCGGCUAACUCCGUGCCAGCAGCCGCGGUAAUACGGAGGGUGCAAGCGUUAAUCGGAAUUACUGGGCGUAAAGCGCACGCAGGCGGUUUGUUAAGUCAGAUGUGAAAUCCCCGC